This 329-nucleotide ribosomal RNA is filed under the name uncultured eukaryote. Its description in RNAcentral is "partial 18S ribosomal RNA". It matches the Rfam family "Eukaryotic small subunit ribosomal RNA", at positions 1470 to 1796 of the family's 1831-position model. The record is from RNAcentral.
CCCUUAGAUGUUCUGGGCUGCACGCGCGCUACACUGAUACUUUCAGCGAGUCCACCACCUUGCCUGGGAGGGUGGGGUAACCUCUGGAAAGUGCAUCGUGAUGGGGAUCGAUUAUUGCAAUUAUUAAUCUUCAACGAGGAAUGCCUAGUAAGCGCAAGUCAUCAGCUUGCGUUGAUUACGUCCCUGCCCUUUGUACACACCGCCCGUCGCUCCUACCGAUUGAAUGGUCCGGUGAAGCGUUCGGACCGUGGCCUUUGGACGGUUCGCCGUCUGUUGGCUGCGGGAAGUUCGUUAAACCUUAUCAUUUAGAGGAAGGAGAAGUCGUAACA